Manduca sexta (tobacco hornworm) is the source of this 1410-nucleotide RNA transcript. RefSeq lists it as uncharacterized. The record is from RefSeq and is a predicted model, not a curated record. NCBI's taxonomy places the organism in Eukaryota, Metazoa, Arthropoda, Insecta, Lepidoptera, Sphingidae. The transcript has 4 exons.
UGUAGUCUGUGGUUGAUUCGCACCACAGAGUAAAAUUAACUGUGAUUAAAAAUAAAUGAUCAGCUGGUGCCUGGUACACAUUUGUCAUAUUUAUUGUCAUCAUUCCGAUUACGAGGAAAUCAAUGAAUUUUGUAAUCCGUUUUCCUUGUACAUAUUUACUUUAGAAAACACGUUCUGAUUUGCAAAUGUAUUUAUUCAAACAACUAAUAUAGGCGAAAAAAACAUGGAAGUUUUAAAUGAAUAUGAUACUAUAAGUGUAGAUACAUUAGCGUUAGAGGAAAUUUUGAGAGAAGAGAGGGCAGCUGAAAUAUCUAAACUAAAUACGUUGAGCAAAAAAGUUUGCUACCUUCACACCGAAUUAUUGUACUAUAGGCACGCCAAGUCCAAAAUUGGUGCAGCCUGUUAUGAAGCUUGGAAGACGUUGGUAAAAAAAGUUGGAGGAACACCAAACUGUUGGAGAGACCUCGGACGAUUGCUGGGUGUUACACAGGAUGACUUAGAUUAUAUAAUGAAUUCUGUCAGAGAUGAUCCUGUCGACAUGGUGCUCAAAGUUUUCAAACAAAACGAAAAGGCCACAUUAGAUAAAGUUGUUGAUGCUUUUGUAAAAAUGAAGAGAUAUGACAUACUCAAAUCGAUUGAGGAUCCAUUGUGUAGUAUGGCCCAGUAUUUCAACAAGGAUGACAGUGGGUACCAGAGCAAUGACAAAAUGAGUGGACACAAAGAAAUUGUCACAUUAAAAUGUCUUUCUAAUGAUUUACCACCAGCUUUAAAUAAGAGUAUAGUUUCUAAGGAUAAAGACCCUAAUAAGCCAAAACCACAACUACAACCAUCGCGAAAACAAAAAUGUUACCGUCAUCAAUGAUAGUCCAAUAUUAUUUUUAACAUAUGCUCAAGACGGUUUGCCAACAGCUAUUAAUAUUCAAGAAUAUGUAUCCAACUGGUCUGAAAUAACUGGAGUAAAAGUAGUAACACUUAAUAACAGGAGGGAGGAUAUAUAUAAAAACCCAGAGAAGUUCAUUAGGGAAUAUUUUGAAAAGGCUGAUUUUAUAGUUCCCAUAAUAACACCGGGGUAUCUACAACAGAUAACAUCCAAUAGUAGUAACGUACCAAAUACAUCAGAAAACUUGGACCACAAAUAUGUGAAUUUUAUCUACAAUCUCAUUGUCAAUCACUACAUACAUGUGACUGGAUGUUUAAACACAAAAGUAAGGAGUGUUCUGCCCCAGAAUGCUAAUGUGGAUCUAUUCGCUAGAAUUACCAUGUACCCAGAUUUACUGCCUUGGACAUAUGAGACUAAUUUUGAUGAACAAUUUCAAGUUUUCUUAAGGAAAGACAAUUCUUGAUGUGUACUCAAUACAAAUAAUCUGUUUUAUAAUUUUAUCAUGCCAUAUUCAUAAAUUCUUAACUAUU